CUCUAGCACAAAAAAUGAAAACUAAAAACUAAAAUGAAAUGGUUAUCAAAUGGGCCCUAAGUAAACAUGUUUUCCAAAAUGUAUGGAUUUUCGGGGUGUGUGUAGGUUGUUCGGAUUUUAGUAUUGUGUUAAUUUAUUUUGAUUAAAUUAUGGUCAAGAUAUGUCCUGGAUCCUUUUUCCAGGUGAUAGAAGAAAGUCAAGCAUUUCAAGAGCUUCUUUUUCUUUAGCUUUUAGUGGAAUUUUCUUUUCUUAACUACAGCUGUCAACUCUUUGGGUUCUGAUUUUCUGAUCGCCAUUCUAAGUCUUCUAAUUGAGCAUGAUAUUGUCUUUGUGUUUUGAUUUGCAGAUGGUUAUCAUGUUCACUCUAACUUCUUUUUUUACUAUAUCUUUUGUGCCUUAAACUUAUCUUGCUCUCUUUUCCUCGUUAUUGGGUUAGUUUGCGACCUAGGUUUGUUGUCACUAGUAUUAUGUAUAAGAUCAUUGAAAAAUUUGUUUAAAGACAUCUCUGGUUCCAAUUCUUCAUUGCUAUUUUAUCUUGUUUGAUGUUUGAGCCUUAUUUUCUGGUACUAAGAUGUUUGAGCCUUUUUUUUUCUGGUACUAAAAUGUUUGAGCAUUAUUUUCGAGUACUAAGAUGUUUGCCUGAAAUAUACUCUUGAAGAAGAGAGCUUUUCUCUGAGACUUAGGUAUCUGUAUUCUUUUUUGACCUUAUCUUUUAUUGGGCUAGUUUGUUAACUUUUUUUUGUCACGGUUUAUGCAUAAGAUCAUUUGAAAAUUUGCUUGUUCGAAUUUAAAAAGCUGCUACAUUUAAAGAAAACUUUUGUCCCAAUUCUUCAUUGCUGGUUUUAUCUUGUAUGAUGGUGAGCUUUAUUUUUGGGUGCAAAGAUGUUGAGAUCCAAGGUAUUCUUUUUCUAUUUUUUAUUUUUUCAUGGUUUCAGUAUUGGUCUUAGUAAAAUAAAAGAAUUGACAUAUGGGCAGAAAUUGUGGGGAUAAAUGGACAUCAUAAGAAAAGCAACAAAGAUAAUAGAUUUACCUAUUCCAUUGUCUGAUUGAGAAUCAAUUACACUGGAUUUAAUCCUGUUUUUCUUUUGGGUUUUGGUCAAGAUUUGGUUGCAUAAGGUUGGCCAAUGUCAAACUUGGCAAGUCCAAAUCAAAUUUUGCUAAUAACAGAGUCAUAUAGCAUGGUAUUGAGACAUUUUUCUGUUAUCUGUUUUCUGCACUUACCUUACCCCGUACUAAUAUGAUUUUCAUGGGAUUAUGUGCACUAUAUGAGAUUUGGAGGUAAUUGUGAGUACGUAUUAUACAAUCCGAAUGACCAGAAACAGAUUAUGAUUUGAGUUGCAGUAUUUAGUUCUCUACUAGCUAAUCGUUACAUUUUUAGUGGACCAUGAAUGGUCAGUUCUCUUCAAUUAUAUGGGGAAUAUAAUGCCCUCAUUCAAGUUUAUUAAGUAUUGUAUUGUUUCACAUGUUCCGAAUAUUUACGUACAUUUAACCUUUAACUAAAGGAAAACCUUGGUGCAGUAUCAUCAAACCCUUGGUGAAAAUGUCCAUUAGUGCCGUUCACAUAUUUCUUUGUGAUGUUUCUGUUUCUUGACGGUUCUUCAGGGAAAUUGAAGCAUUUCUCAUAAUAUGCCCCUCUUGUGCUAUCUCUUUGUGUAAAUAAUGUCAUAAUAUGAAGAAAAUUAUGAGGUGUGUGCCCCCUCGUCUAAUCGCAGCAUUGACAUUUGCUUCAGUAACCCUAAUGAUCAGAUUUCAUACUAGUAUGAUUUUCAUUGAGAACUUGGUAGCGAAAUUCCUUGUCGCAUAAGUAGCGACUACACGAAUGGUGUAACGACUGCCCCCCGUCUUCGACAUGGACCCGAAAGAAGAGAAGUUAUAAUUUUUAAAGUAUACUAUCAGCAUUUUAUGAGAUCUUGAGGUAGUGUGAGCAUUGUAUAUGGAUUAGAAUGCCCAGCAAGUAGUAGUUUUUUUAUUAUUUAUUUUUAAG
This is a non-coding RNA of Prunus avium (sweet cherry), 1984 nucleotides long. Lineage: Eukaryota; Viridiplantae; Streptophyta; Magnoliopsida; Rosales; Rosaceae. The record is from RefSeq and is a predicted model, not a curated record.